UACGUAGGGCAGCAAGCGUUGUUCGGAAUUACUGGGCGUAAAGGAGUGUGUAGGCGGAUGCUUCUAAGUUUGGAUCGUGAAAUCUCCCGCUUAACUGGGAGGGUGCGCCAGAAAACUGGAAUUGCUUGAACAUGGGAGAGGAAAGCGGAAUUCCUGGUGUAGCGGUGAAAUGCGUAGAUAUCAGGAGGAACACCUGCGGUGUAGAUCGGCUUUCGUGGACCAUUGUUGACGCUGAGACACGAAAAGCGGUGGGUAGCAAACAGG
RNAcentral lists this ribosomal RNA (264 nucleotides) under uncultured bacterium. Its description in RNAcentral is "partial 16S ribosomal RNA". It matches the Rfam family "Bacterial small subunit ribosomal RNA", at positions 524 to 776 of the family's 1533-position model. The record is from RNAcentral.